Molecule: ribosomal RNA, 827 nt
Filed under: uncultured marine archaeon
Lineage: Archaea
Description: bacterial SSU rRNA
Rfam family: Archaeal small subunit ribosomal RNA
Source: RNAcentral
AGCCAUGCGAGUCAUUGUAGCAAUACAAGGCAGACGGCUCAGUAACGCGUAGUCAACCUAACCUAUGGACGGGAAUAACCUCGGGAAACUGAGAAUAAUGCCCGAUAGAACACUAUACCUGGAAUGGUUUGUGUUCCAAAUGAUUUAUCGCCGUAGGAUGGGACUGCGGCCUAUCAGUUUGUUGGUGAGGUAAUGGCCCACCAAGACUAUUACAGGUACGGGCUCUGAGAGGAGUAGCCCGGAGAUGGGUACUGAGACACGGACCCAGGCCCUAUGGGGCGCAGCAGGCGAGAAAACUUUGCAAUGUGCGAAAGCACGACAAGGUUAAUCCGAGUGGUUUCUGCUAAAGGAACCUUUUGUCGGUCCUAGAAACACCGAUGAAUAAGGGGUGGGCAAGUUCUGGUGUCAGCCGCCGCGGUAAAACCAGCACCUCCAGUGGUCAGGAUGAUUAUUGGGCCUAAAGCAUCCGUAGCCGGCGCUAUAAGUUUUCCGUUAAAUCUGUACGCUCCACGUACAGGCUGGCGGGAAUACUGGAACGCUUAGGAAUGGGAAAAGUAGACCGUACUCCGUAAGAAAGGGUAAAAUCCUUUGAUCUAUUGGUGACCCCCUGGGGGGAAAGCGGUCUACCAGAACACGUCCCGACGGGGGAGGAAUGAAAGCCUGGGGGGAGCAAACCGGGAUUAGAUACCCCGGUAGUCCCAGCUGUAAACUAUGCAAACUCAGUGAUGCAAUGGGCUUGUGGGCAAUGCAGUGCUGCAGGGAAGCCCGUUAAGUUUGCCGCCUGGGAAGUACGUACGCAAGUAUGAAACUUAAAAGGAUUGGCGGGG